RNAcentral lists this transfer-messenger RNA (363 nucleotides) under Salmonella enterica subsp. enterica serovar Enteritidis. It matches the Rfam family "transfer-messenger RNA". Rfam says of the family: Bacterial tmRNA, also known as 10Sa RNA or SsrA, is named for its dual tRNA and mRNA-like properties. Its role is to liberate the mRNA from a stalled ribosome. Lineage: Bacteria; Pseudomonadati; Pseudomonadota; Gammaproteobacteria; Enterobacterales; Enterobacteriaceae. The record is from RNAcentral.
GGGGCUGAUUCUGGAUUCGACGGGAUUUGCGAAACCCAAGGUGCAUGCCGAGGGGCGGUUGGCCUCGUAAAAAGCCGCAAAAAAAUAGUCGCAAACGACGAAACCUACGCUUUAGCAGCUUAAUAGCCUGCUUAGAGCCCUCUCUCCCUAGCCUCCGCUCUUAGGACGGGGAUCAAGAGAGGUCAAACCCAAAAGAGAUCGCGUGGAUGCCCUGCCUGGGGUUGAAGCGUUAAAACGAAUCAGGCUAGUCUGGUAGUGGCGUGUCCGUCCGCAGGUGCCAGGCGAAUGUAAAGACUGACUAAGCAUGUAGUACCGAGGAUGUAGGAAUUUCGGACGCGGGUUCAACUCCCGCCAGCUCCACCA